GGGAAUGUGACUUAGUUGUAGAGUGCUUGCCUAGCAUGCAUGAAGCCCUGGGUUCAAUUCCUCAGUACCA
RNAcentral lists this transfer RNA (70 nucleotides) under Dipodomys ordii (Ord's kangaroo rat). It matches the Rfam family "tRNA". From Rfam's summary of the family: Transfer RNA (tRNA) molecules are approximately 80 nucleotides in length. Lineage: Eukaryota; Metazoa; Chordata; Mammalia; Rodentia; Heteromyidae. The record is from Rfam by way of RNAcentral.